CCCCCCUGGCAAUGGGCAAAGAAACACCUCGUUGGUGGUGUUGUUCUUAUAUCAGUCAGGGGAAGAACAGAUAGAAGUCCUUUGUUCAUCCUAGCUUGAUGCCUGACUUGGUGGCCAAAGCUGUUUCAUGCCUAGGACACAGUC
Jaculus jaculus (lesser Egyptian jerboa) is the source of this 144-nucleotide small nucleolar RNA. RefSeq annotates it as small nucleolar RNA SNORA48. The transcript has a single exon. The record is from RefSeq and is a predicted model, not a curated record. Lineage: Eukaryota; Metazoa; Chordata; Mammalia; Rodentia; Dipodidae.